GACGAACGCUGGCGGCGUGCUUAACACAUGCAAGUCGAACGGAAAGGCCCUGCUUGCAGGGUCCUCGAGUGGCGAACGGGUGAGUAACACGUGGGUGCUCUGCCCUGCACUUCUUGAUAGGCCUUGAAAACUGGGUCUAAUACCUUAUAGCGGCCAUUUUUUGUGUGAUGGUUGGAAAGUUUUUUCGGUGUUGGAUGAUCUCGCGGGCUAUUAGCUUGUUGGUGGGUUAAUGGCCUACCAAGGCGGCGACGGGUAGCCGGCCAGAGAGGGUGGACGGCCAUAUAGGGACGGAGAGAAGGCCGAGAUGGCGAAGGGAGGAAGAAGUGGGGAAGAUUGAACAAGGGGCGCAAGGCGGAUGAAGAGAGGCCGCGGGGGGGAUGACGGUCUUCGGGGGGUAAAAAACCAGCGGGAGGGAAGAAGCUUGUUGUGACGGUACCUAGAGAAGAAGCACCGGCUAACUACGUG
This 465-nucleotide ribosomal RNA is filed under the name uncultured bacterium. RNAcentral's name for it is "partial 16S ribosomal RNA". It matches the Rfam family "Bacterial small subunit ribosomal RNA", at positions 28 to 507 of the family's 1533-position model. The record is from RNAcentral.